ACGCACGCUGGCGGCGUGCUUAACCCAUGCAAGUCGAACGGUGAAGCGCCUUCCUUUUUGGUGGGUGUGGAUGAGUGGCGAACGGGUGAGUAACACGUGAGUAACCUGCCCCCUUCUUCUGGAUAACCGCAUGAAAGUGUGGCUAAUACGGGAUAUUCUGGGUCUGUCGCAUGAUGGGUCUGGGAAAGAUAUUGUUUCGGUGGGGGAUGGGCUCGCGGCCUAUCAGCUUGUUGGUGGGGUGAUGGCCUACCAAGGCGGUGACGGGUAGCCGGCCUGAGAGGGUGGACGGUCACACUGGGACUGAGACACGGCCCAGACUCCUACGGGAGGCAGCAGUGGGGAAUAUUGCAUAAUGGGCGCAAGCCUGAUGCAGCGACGCCGCGUGAGGGAUGGAGGCCUUCGGGUUGUGAACCUCUUUCGCCAGUGAAGCAGGCCUGCCUCGUUUGUGGGUGGGUUGACGGUAGCUGGAUAAGAAGCGCCGGCUAACUACGUG
This 493-nucleotide ribosomal RNA is filed under the name uncultured bacterium. RNAcentral describes it as "partial 16S ribosomal RNA". It matches the Rfam family "Bacterial small subunit ribosomal RNA", at positions 29 to 507 of the family's 1533-position model. The record is from RNAcentral.